AAGCAGCUUGCUGUCUUUGCUGACGAGUGGCGGACGGGUGAGUAAUGUCUGGGAAACUGCCCGAUGGAGGGGGAUAACUACUGGAAACGGUAGCUAAUACCGCAUAAUGUCGCAAGACCAAAGAGGGGGACCUUCGGGCCUCUUGCCAUCGGAUGUGCCCAGAUGGGAUUAGCUUGUUGGUGAGGUAACGGCUCACCAAGGCGACGAUCCCUAGCUGGUCUGAGAGGAUGACCAGCCACACUGGAACUGAGACACGGUCCAGACUCCUACGGGAGGCAGCAGUGGGGAAUAUUGCACAAUGGGCGCAAGCCUGAUGCAGCCAUGCCGCGUGUAUGAAGAAGGCCUUCGGGUUGUAAAGUACUUUCAGCGGGGAGGAAGGGGUUAAGGUUAAUAACCUUAGCCAUUGACGUUACCCGCAGAAGAAGCACCGGCUAACUCCGUGCCAGCAGCCGCGGUAAUACGGAGGGUGCAAGCGUUAAUCGGAAUUACUGGGCGUAAAGCGCACGCAGGCGGUCUGUCAAGUCGGAUGUGAAAUCCCCGGGCUCAACCUGGGAACUGCAUUCGAAACUGGCAGGCUUGAGUCUCGUAGAGGGGGGUAGAAUUCCAGGUGUAGCGGUGAAAUGCGUAGAGAUCUGGAGGAAUACCGGUGGCGAAGGCGGCCCCCUGGACGAAGACUGACGCUCAGGUGCGAAAGCGUGGGGAGCAAACAGGAUUAGAUACCCUGGUAGUCCACGCCGUAAACGAUGUCUAUUUGGAGGUUGUGCCCUUGAGGCGUGGCUUCCGGAGCUAACGCGUUAAAUAGACCGCCUGGGGAGUACGGCCGCAAGGUUAAAACUCAAAUGAAUUGACGGGGGCCCGCACAAGCGGUGGAGCAUGUGGUUUAAUUCGAUGCAACGCGAAGAACCUUACCUGGUCUUGACAUCCACAGAAUCUGGCAGAGAUGCCUUGGUGCCUUCGGGAACUGUGAGACAGGUGCUGCAUGGCUGUC
RNAcentral lists this ribosomal RNA (988 nucleotides) under Edwardsiella tarda. RNAcentral describes it as "bacterial SSU rRNA". It matches the Rfam family "Bacterial small subunit ribosomal RNA", at positions 73 to 1053 of the family's 1533-position model. The record is from RNAcentral. Lineage: Bacteria; Pseudomonadati; Pseudomonadota; Gammaproteobacteria; Enterobacterales; Hafniaceae.